Molecule: transfer RNA, 71 nt
Filed under: Cordylochernes scorpioides
Lineage: Eukaryota; Metazoa; Arthropoda; Arachnida; Pseudoscorpiones; Chernetidae
Description: tRNA-Gly
Rfam family: tRNA
About the family: Transfer RNA (tRNA) molecules are approximately 80 nucleotides in length. Their secondary structure includes four short double-helical elements and three loops (D, anti-codon, and T loops).
Source: RNAcentral
CCAUCGGUGGUUAAGUGGUAGAAUGCUCGCCUGCCACGCGGGUGGCCCGGGUUCGAUUCCCGGCCGAUGCA